Meriones unguiculatus (Mongolian gerbil) is the source of this 285-nucleotide long non-coding RNA. RefSeq lists it as uncharacterized. Lineage: Eukaryota; Metazoa; Chordata; Mammalia; Rodentia; Muridae. The transcript has 3 exons. The record is from RefSeq and is a predicted model, not a curated record.
UCUCUGUAUAGUCCUGGCUGUCCUGGGAUUCACUCUGUACAUAAUGGCCUCAAACUCAGAGAUCUGCGUGCCUCUGACUCCCCGGUGCUGGAUUAAAGGGUCUCACGAGGUCACUUGCCAGGCAUGGAGCUCACUAUGUACGUCCAGCUUUCUUCAGAUCUUUACUGUCCUACAAGCAAAUUCUCACUAUCCAAAAUGGCUUUGUGUGAUCCCUGCCUCCCAAAUGAUCCCUGAUUGGCUAAUAAACUUGCCUACAGCCUGGUCUGGGCAGAAAAGAGGUAGGUG